Molecule: ribosomal RNA, 404 nt
Filed under: uncultured bacterium
Lineage: Bacteria
Description: bacterial SSU rRNA
Rfam family: Bacterial small subunit ribosomal RNA
Source: RNAcentral
AGCGGCGCGCCUAACACAUGCAAGUCGAGCGAGAAGGGGGCAACCCCUGUAAAGCGGCGCACGGGUGAGUAACACGUAGGUAAUCUACCUCGAGGUGGUGGAUAACCUUCCGAAAGGAGGGCUAAUACAGCAUGGGACCACGUCUUCGAAAGAGGAUGAGGUAAAAGCGGGCCUCUAUACAUAAGCUCGCGCCACGAGAUGAGCCUGCGGCCCAUCAUGGUAGUUGGUAGGGUAACGGCCUACCAAGCCGAAGACGGGUAGCUGGUCUGAGAGGAUGAUCAGCCACACUGGAACUGAGACACGGUCCAGACUCCUACGGGAGGCAGCAGUGGGGAAUCUUGCGCAAUGGGCGAAAGCCUGACGCAGCGACGCCGCGUGAGUGAUGAAGGCCUUCGGGUUGUAAA